CAAAGUUUAUACUCCCUUCCCUACCCUUCGAUCUCUCUCUCUUCUCCCCUUCUCCAUUCCAUUUUUCCCAAUCCCAAACCCUAGCUCGAUCGGCGCCCAAUUCCCGGCGAAUUAACGAAUUUACGGCGGGGAUCCCGGCUCCAUCGUCGCCGGUCCCCGUCCUCCUCGGACUUCCUUUUCUUUUCCCCGUCAGUUCGCCUUUCUCCCACAACUCGACUUCGCGUCGAACCUGGAGAGCAGCGACGACUGUCGCAAACUCACCGUUGCCUCCUCUCUUUCCGUCGAUUUCCGUGCUUCGACGAAAACCCGGUUGGGGAGGAAGGCGUCGCCUCUCCCGUCACUGUUUCUUGGUGAGCCGCCGCUCCGUCGUCGCCUUCGCGGCUUUCGGCGGCCUGCAUCAUCGACAUCCUCCGUCAGCCUUGGCGUCGAGGCCCCGUUUCUGCCGGGCAGCGAUCCAGCGUCAGCGUGGCGUCUUCGGCCGGUCAGCCGUCGUUGUCUCGCCUCAGUCCCGCGCCGUCGCCGGUGGCUUCCGGGCAUUUCCUUGGCCUCUGAGCUAAGUUUUCUCUAUCCUAGCUCAUUUAUGAUCCCCUAACUCGUGUCCCCUUUGGUCUGCCUAAUAUGUGAAGUUCGAAAUCUGUGUAGUUACUUUGGUCUUUGGUGAAGCUUAGGAUUCUAAUGUGUGGUGCUAUGUUUUGAAUAUCGAUUAGCAAUGUGUUAAAGUUGUAAGUUCUUGACUUUUAAGUGUGAUGGUGUGUUAGUGUGUUUACUUUAUCUUGCGGUUACACAUCGCGAUGGUCGAAGACUCAGUUUUUCCUAUAAGUUUGAGCACGUGAUGUGGUGUUCAAAGGCCUAGCAUGCUGUGCCUAAAUUCCUUCUCACGAAUGUGUAUGAUGCACUCUAUAAAUUUUGGUAAGAUUGUUGGUUACCUACUGGAAAUGGGGCUGUGAGGGUUGGGGGAUCUCCGGCCGAGCUUAGAAUGGGCUCUCUGCUUUGCUCUGCUGAUGAAAUGUUGUGGAAAUGUGGAGGGGAUUUGGGUGAGCAUGGAGGGGUUCUUUUGGGAUUAUGUUUUGGCCGCUGCCCUCAGGACUUACCCUGCUGUCUCUUUAAUUGCAUUUGGCUCAUUCAUGGAGUUUGUUUCUUGUGGCAGGUGUACAAGAAAGGGUAGAGAUUUUGUACUACAAUCCUCGGCAGUGGCAGGUGCACAACAAAGCUGUGGCUGUGGCUGUGGCUGUUAGCCAACCCUGCAGGCUGCUGCGGUCAAAACUGAUAUGGCUGCUUCAUGGCAUCCUUCGGUUGGGCUAGGGAGUGCAGAGGUUGUUGCCAUCUAUCUUCCCUAAUUUGGCAUUCUCUUGGUCCUCUUUAAAAAUGAUGUACCAGUUGGCUGGAAAUCGGCCUCUCGUGACAUGGUUCGGUGCCUCUGGCCGACGGUCGAUCAAGACACGGCGUGGGCGUAACUUGGCUCAGUAUGAGGGUUACAUGUUUUUAUUCUAAUUGUGUACCCUAUUUGUAACAGUCACUUUUGUGCAUAUGUAAUAGACUUAGUUAGAAACGAACUCUAUGUUCUUAGUUUUCUUUCUUGGUACGAUUUUGAAAUGUUUAAUUUGGGAAGCAGUAAAGAGUGCGCAAAAUUCUUUUUA
Molecule: long non-coding RNA, 1637 nt
Organism: Salvia splendens (bonfire salvia)
Lineage: Eukaryota; Viridiplantae; Streptophyta; Magnoliopsida; Lamiales; Lamiaceae
Exons: 2
Source: RefSeq, a predicted model, not a curated record